Piliocolobus tephrosceles (Ugandan red Colobus) is the source of this 3427-nucleotide long non-coding RNA. NCBI's taxonomy places the organism in Eukaryota, Metazoa, Chordata, Mammalia, Primates, Cercopithecidae. The record is from Ensembl.
AGUGAAAAAUCGUAAAAUUGCUUUUACUCACAUGAACAAGGCAUCUUCCAGAUCUCAUUUAAUAUUUAUUAUAAAAUUAAAUAGAUACAUUUACGAAACAAAUACUAUUAGAUGUGGAAAAUUAUGUUUAGUUGAUUUAGCUGGUAGUGAAAGAUUAAAACAAACUAAGUCUACCGGGUCGGUGAAACUUGAAGCUACUAUGAUUAAUAAAAGUUUAACCGUCCUUAGUAAAGUCAUCAAUGCUUUAGCAGUAAUGCAAAUAAAAGAAAAAAUAGAUAAAAAACAGAAAAAAAAACUGAAUCAAGAUGCCGAGAAUAGUGAUAGUACUAAUAAAAAAAAAAAAAAAAAAAAAAUGAAGAAAAAUGAAAAGGGAAUAAAUGACACAGACAAUCACGAUGGUAUUCAUAAACAAUUACAGGACGAUCAUGAAAAUCAAGAAGAAGAUGAAGAAGAAGAAGAAGAAGAAGAAGAAAAUGAAGAAGAGGAUGAAGCUGAGGAUGAAGCUGAUGAUGAUAUAAACGGAGACACAGACGAACAAACGACUGACGAUGUGACUGACCAUGACACAGACAAUAUAGACAAACCAACGCAUAAUGUAACAUUACAUACAACAAUAGAAAAACAAAAAAAAAAAAAUAAAAUAAAUAAAAAAAAUACAACUAAUUCUACUCAUCAUGUACAUAUACCUUACCGUGACUCAAAGCUAACUAGAGUCUUAUCCGAUAGCUUAGGAAAUAAUUGUAAAAGUAUACUUAUAUGUACAUUAGCAUCACAAGCAAAAUAUUUAAAUGAAACUGCAUCUACUAUUAAAUUUGCACAAAGAGCUAAGAUGGUAAAAGCAAAACCGAUUGUACGUGAGGAAGUUAUUGAAAAGCUAAAAACCAUUGGUCAAGAAAAUGAAAACGACACAUGUUUAUUUGGUAUUACUACCGAUAAUCAUAUUAUGAAUGAAAAAAAAAUAGAUAUAUUUUUGAAUUUUAACAAAAGUCAUUUAACUAAGGAAAUCUUUUUUUUUUCAUUUAAUUUAUGUAUUUUCAGUUACAUCUGUGGAUUCAAAAAUGCGGGUAAAGUCAAAUAUAUGGACUUUUUUAUUGAGUCAUAUAAAAAUAAAGUUAACAUACUUAAGGAAAAACUUAAUCAAGGUGGUGAUACGAAUGAUAUAAAUGAAUACAUAUUAAAAACUUUCGACGAGUUGAAGGUAUUAACAGAGGACGAAAAAAAAAAGAGUUUGGACAUUAGUCAAGGAAAAAAGGUGGCAAAUGAUUCAGAACAGAUGUUGAAUAAACAAAAAGUGGUUGAAAGUGGUGGCACGAAAGGAACGAAUGACAUAACUGAAAAAGAUGGAGCAACAGGGGAAGAUAACAAAACUAACACGGACACAGAUUUUGUCGAUUUAGACGAUAAAGAAAAAGCGAAAAAAAAGAAAAAAGGGAUAACCUUCAAUCUAACUGACGAGCAUAUUAUAAUUAAAGAAUCAGACGAAAACGAGUUAAACAAAAAUGAAAAUCACGAUACAACAACAAUAUUAAACUCUGAAAAACAACAACAACAACAACAACAACAAACGACUGGUAAUGAUGAAGAUGAUCCACUUAUUAGUGAUAUUCUAGUAAAAAUGAAAAAUGAUAUAUGUAAUAUAAUAAAAUUUAAUUUAAAUAAUAUGCAGAAAUUGAACGUAAAAAAUGAACAAGAUAAUAUAUGUGAAGAAAUGCUACAUAUACUUAAUUCGCUGAAAGAUAAUAAUAGUAUAUUCAUACAACAUGAAAUAAACGAAUUAAAUAAUAAUCAUACUAAUACACUUGACAUACACGACCAGAAUGACAGUAAAAAAAAUUUAGAUUUGAAAAUGAAUAAAACGCAAGAAGGUAGUAGUAAUGUAGCUAAUUUGGCAACUGUGGGUAUUCGUAACACACAUACUGCCACUGCCACUGCCACUGCCACUACCACUACCACAAGUGAUAACAAAAAAGGUACUCUAAAAAAUACAGACCACACAAUUAAUAAACAAAACAAAAAAGAUAAAUCAAUAGCACAUGUAAAAAAUAUACAAGGUCAUAAUGAAAACUUGAAAAAUAAAUCAGAAAUAAACGAAGAGUCUAAUGAAACUCAAAAUAAAAGUCAUGAAGAAAUAAUAAGUUAUGAUUAUUAUGCAAAUAAUAUAUUAAGUAUAAAAAAUAUACAAAAUAUAUAUGAAUAUGUUAAUAAUAAUUAUACUAAAUUUAUUAGUGAUUUUACAACUGAUAAAAGUACUGUUUUUACGAAUUUUGAUGUACAAGAUGAUAUAGAAAAACAAAAUUUAGAAAAUCAAAAUACCAUUUAUAAUUUUAUACAUGCAGCUACAAUGUUUCAACAUAGUGGCACUUUAAAAAAUCUAAAUAGUAAUUAUAUUGUAAAUAAAUUACAAACUGAUAUAUAUAACAAUUUUUCUAUGGGUACUGUUAAUAUGCGUUACAUAAAAAGUAUUCAAAAUUUAGAAAAUUAUAAAAAUUUUGACAGAUUAAAUCCGAGUGAGUUGGCGAAUAGACAAUUAACACAACACGAGUUAGACCAAAGCAAAAAAGAACAAAAUAUCACAAUUGAAAAUACCCAAAAUGUUACUACUACAACUACUAGUAGUAAUAAUAAUGAGAAGGAACCAUUUGGAGCCCCUUCAGAUAAACAUAUACAAAAUGUUGCAGAUAUGCACAAAACAAAUACAUUAAAUAAUAGCGAAUCAGAUAAAGAAAAAAAACAAGAAUCAAUAAAAAAUGAACCUAUUGAAUAUACAAAAAAUGAAUCAGAGUUGAAUUCUAAUGUUAAAAAAAAAAAAAUGUAUAACCAGUACAUACAAGUGGCUAACAAUUAUGAAUAUGUAAUGGAAUUUGAAAAGUUGUUAGAAAACAGAGACUUUCGAAAGUUAUAUGAAUUAAUAACAGGAAGAAAAUGUAAACAAAACGAUGUUGAUUUACUUAAAGGUGAAUGGGAUGAACGCAAUGACACAUUAAACAAACAAACAAACGAAACUACACAAUUCACAGAUACUACACUAAAAGAAUUAGAAUCGAGAAUAAAUGAUGAAAUAAAAAAAAUAAGUGAUAAUAUAAAUGUUGAUCUUAUGAAUAAUAAAUAUGAAAGCGGUUUUAAAAAUGGUUUUUUUAAUGGUGGUACGAUUAUUAAUAAUGAUAGUUAUAAUAAUAAAAAAAAUACUAAUAGCAACAAUCUUCAUAUCAACAAUUACGGUGUAAAAAAAAAGAGUAAAAAUAUGAAUAUUGCUUACAUAGAAAAAAAAAGAAACACUAAUUUAUUUUUUCAAAAAAUUAUAAAUUUAUUUAAAAAUUUGUUUAUGAUCAAAAAUGAUACAUCAAAAGGACCUGUCGAAAUAGACACAUGCGAUCUGAUAGAAAAUGAAUUCUUGCAUAAUCAAAAGCUUUUAAAAAAAAACUUAGAA